CCUGUCCUACACAAACACCCACUUUGGUGAUGCGGCAUUCCUGGCACUAAACUCUGUAACAGCACUAUUGUUGUUUUACCAAUUUAUGAAUUGCCUUACGCGCUGAGUCUCAGGGCAAUUUUGCAAGCAUGCCAGGAACCAUCUAAAGAUAGUUUUGAAAGAAGUACAAAACCCAACUAAAGAUAGAUCUAAAAGGAAUACAGGAUAAACAAUCGGAUGCUUUCAUCCCAUUGGAAAGCUUGCCAAAAGAAGAAAUGCCUUCAGUUGUUUCCGGAAACAAGGCCUUGAUAGGAAAAACAUCUGAUUUGGCUCCGUCCUGUAUCCUCGAUUAACUGAAGUGGCCUCUCAAGUCUCCACCGUGGAAGAAAAAAAGCAAAACUUAGUCUCUCCUAAUGAAAUGCAAUAAACACUUUUUACACACACACACACA
This is a long non-coding RNA of Podarcis raffonei (Aeolian wall lizard), 430 nucleotides long. RefSeq lists it as uncharacterized. The transcript is spliced from 2 exons. The record is from RefSeq and is a predicted model, not a curated record. Lineage: Eukaryota; Metazoa; Chordata; Lepidosauria; Squamata; Lacertidae.